Molecule: ribosomal RNA, 154 nt
Filed under: uncultured fungus
Lineage: Eukaryota; Fungi
Description: partial 5.8S ribosomal RNA
Rfam family: 5.8S ribosomal RNA
About the family: 5.8S ribosomal RNA (5.8S rRNA) is a component of the large subunit of the eukaryotic ribosome. It is transcribed by RNA polymerase I as part of the 45S precursor that also contains 18S and 28S rRNA.
Source: RNAcentral
AACUUUCAACAACGGAUCUCUUGGCUCACGCAUCGAUGAAGAACGCGGCGAAAUGCGAUAAGUAAUGUGAAUUGCAGAAUUCAGUGAAUCAUCGAAUCUUUGAACGCACCUUGCGCUCUCUGGUAUUCCGGAGAGCAUGCCUGUUUGAGUGUCA